RNAcentral lists this ribosomal RNA (437 nucleotides) under uncultured bacterium. RNAcentral's name for it is "partial 16S ribosomal RNA". It matches the Rfam family "Bacterial small subunit ribosomal RNA", at positions 29 to 507 of the family's 1533-position model. The record is from RNAcentral.
AGCGAACGCUGGCGGCAGGCUUAACACAUGCAAGUCGAGCGGGCAUCCUUGUGGUGUCAGCGGCAGACGGGUGAGUAACGCGUGGGAACGUGCCCUUCGGUUCGGAAUAACUCAGGGAAACUUGAGCUAAUACCGGAUACGUGCGAGAGCAGAAAGGUUUAUCUGCCGAAGGAUCGGCCCGCGUCUGAUUAGCUAGUUGGUGAGGUUACGGCUCACCAAGGCGACGAUCAGUAGCUGGUCUGAGAGGAUGAUCAGCCACACUGGGACUGAGACACGGCCCAGACUCCUACGGGAGGCAGCAGUGGGGAAUAUUGGACAAUGGGGGCAACCCUGAUCCAGCCAUGCCGCGUGAGUGUUGACGGCCUUAGGGUUGUAAAGCUCUUUUCUCCGGGACGAUAAUGACGGUACCGGAGGAAUAAGCCCCGGCUAACUUCGUG